RNAcentral lists this ribosomal RNA (218 nucleotides) under uncultured bacterium. Its description in RNAcentral is "partial 16S ribosomal RNA". It matches the Rfam family "Bacterial small subunit ribosomal RNA", at positions 18 to 232 of the family's 1533-position model. The record is from RNAcentral.
CCUGGCUCAGAUUGAACGCUGGCGGCAUGCCUAACACAUGCAAGUCGAACGGUAGCAUGACUCAGCUUGCUGAGUUGAUGACGAGUGGCGAACGGGUGAGUAACGCGUAGGAAUAUACCUUAGAGAGGGGGACAACUUGGGGAAACUCAAGCUAAUACCGCAUACAUUCUUCGGAAUAAAGCUGGGGACCGCAAGGCCUGGCGCUUUAAGAUUAGCCU